ACGGGGCCCCGCACAAGCAGCGGAGCGUGUGGUUUAAUUCGAUGCUACACGAAGAACCUUACCAGGGUUUGACAUACAAGUAGUAGGGAAAGGAAACUGGACCGACCCUUCGGGGAGCUUGAACAGGUGCUGCAUGGCUGUCGUCAGCUCGUGUCGUGAGAUGUUCGGUUAAGUCCGCUAACGAGCGCAACCCUCGCUGUGUGUUACAAGUGUCACACGGAACUGCCGGUCAUAAACCGGAGGAAGGUGGGGAUGACGUCAAGUCAGCAUGGCCUUUAUAUCCUGGGCUACACACACGCUACAAUGGGAAGGGACAAUAGGUUGCGAAACCGCGAGGUGGAGCCAAUCCAGCAAAACUUCCCUCAGUUCAGAUUGCAGGCUGCAACUCGCCUGCAUGAAGUUGGAGUUGCUAGUAAACGCAGGUCAGCCAUACUGCGUUGAAUACGUUCCCGGGGCUU
This 458-nucleotide ribosomal RNA is filed under the name uncultured Levilinea sp. RNAcentral's name for it is "bacterial SSU rRNA". It matches the Rfam family "Bacterial small subunit ribosomal RNA", at positions 913 to 1382 of the family's 1533-position model. The record is from RNAcentral. Lineage: Bacteria; Bacillati; Chloroflexota; Anaerolineae; Anaerolineales; Anaerolineaceae.